AGAUGUAUAAGACAAUAAUCGCUCCUACCUUGAUGAAGGCAGAGAAGAAUGACUUAUAGAGGGGUGAGGCUUGUUUCAGCAGGGCUGCUGUCUCUGGAGCUGAGAACUUGGAAACGCAAUAUGUGCUCUGGAAUGAAAGAUCAUGGUGCAUCUGGAGAUAAGUAUGAGAUCACAAUACAGAAGCUGCUGAAAGCAGAAUACAUUCCUAUAGUAAAUCAGGCAUAUAGAGAUUCAUAUUCUUUUUUUGGCAUGAGGUGUGAGUGGGAGUGCAGUACACUAACUGGAAGGUAUUGAAGGAGUUAACAAAA
This 308-nucleotide long non-coding RNA is filed under the name Homo sapiens (human). RNAcentral describes it as "HSALNT0092264". The record is from RNAcentral. Lineage: Eukaryota; Metazoa; Chordata; Mammalia; Primates; Hominidae.